This 3807-nucleotide long non-coding RNA is filed under the name Hordeum vulgare. Its description in RNAcentral is "long non-coding RNA (HVUL_LNC004248)". Lineage: Eukaryota; Viridiplantae; Streptophyta; Magnoliopsida; Poales; Poaceae. The record is from RNAcentral.
CUGGGAGGCCCGCGACGUCCAUUGGCAGUGUGGCGCCUCCUCAAGGUGACCCCUCCUUCGACUCCACUCCACUUCUCCUCUUUAUCCUAGGGUUUGGUUUCGGCUCCACACUGAUGUUGCUGACAAGCGUGUGCGUGUGAUGUCAGGCGGAUGAGAACAUGCGGAUGUGGGAGGCGACGUGCAUGGGUAUGGCACAGUAGCCCUGCGGCGACGGCCGGGUGUUCGCCGGUAAGAGGACCAUUACGUGUGUCUGCUACUCUGCUUCCUAUCCUACUACUAGCACCGCGUUAUCACUGUUGCUGUAUUGAGGUAUUCAGGAGCUAUUUUUCGCUUUCUUACGAUCUGCUUCCGCGGUCCAUUUUAUUCCACUAUUGUUGUUCACCUAAGUAGGCAGCCAAAUGUGAACUUUUUAACUAGUUAACCAAGCAACACCGAAGAGCAUUUUUUAACCAGUUAAUCAUAUCACCUAAUCCUUACAAAAUCAGGAGGCUACGGACUGAUAUCCUUGUCUGCUGCAUUUAAUGUAUAGAACCCCUAAAGAGUGAAAAUGAGAAUUUGAAAGAUUUUAUACAAAUCUUGGAGCCGGAGAACGAGAAGCUUAAGGUACCUUACCGAAACAUGAGUUGCAUCUCAGCCGGCUUGUGCACCCUGUCAAUUUUCUGAACUCUUAUUUUGUGCUUCUUAUAAAGUGAUAGCAGCAAUUUUCCCAGUGGCAAGAGUGCGCGGGCGAUGAGGCGCGGCGGAGCGCUGCUCGCGAUGACGGGUGGCCUCACUCCACAGGUGCGUGAUUCCGGCUGAAAACCCUCGCCUGAAGCUGUAAUCGGUUCUUUUACCACUCGAUUCGAGCACAUACACCGAGUUCGUCGCCGUCGCCCGUCGCCGUACGCUUGUGUUCGUAUGUCUAGUCUAGCCUGCGAUUGAUGUACAGUUGUGUUUGUCCGUCUAGUCUAGCCUGCGAUUGGGUUUGUUGGUUGGGUUCAGUAGCUAGUAGCUUGUCCCUGUCUAACUGAGCACCAGGCCUUUUUUCAUGCACUGUAUACACAUGCAUGCUUAGUUGAUGCAUAUAUGAUGCUCAAACUGUAAUUGCAAGGCACUGUCUGUCUGCAUUUCAGAUCGAUGCCACUUGAAUUUUCUUUCUUUCUAGGAUACGCACAAGCUUUUGUAUCAUAUAUUCAUAGAAGAAAGUGUCAGACACCCGUCCACCGGAUGCGACUUGAUUUAUGUGCUGUGGCUGCCAAUUUUAAGCCACUUAAUUAAUUCAUGGGUUGCGGUUGAUUGUUGUCGCGGUUGUCGAACAAAGUUAUACUAUCCGACAUGCCUAAUUAUUAUGUUGUUUGUCAUAGGCUGCAAAGAAUCUUGUAGCUGUGGUCGUGGCACGUUCAGUCUCUAGUAUUUUUUAGUAAUGUUCAGUAAUGUUCAUGUUUUGUCUAAUGGAAAGCAGACUAUCAGUCUCGGUGAUGUGAUCUCAAGCACACUGCAGAAUAAUUAAGUAACGCCUCCGUUUUUAAAUAUAAGCCCUUUUUGACAGUUUAAUUUAAACUGCCGACACAAUAUGUAUGUUUAUGAACAGAGUUAGUACUGUACCAGUACGACAAACUCCUUUUAGAAUAGUCUCACUCUUGCAUGUUGGUGUCGCAUUCUGCUACCAGGGAGUAUUUUUCCGCAAGGUGUCAUGUCAGGGCGUGUAUGGGUUGCUGCUUCUGGAGUAGGUAGCUGGAGUUCGACGAUUUGGUGCGUCCUGCUAAGCUUCUGCUCCCUGAUUUUCCACUGAUUUCUUGGUGGAAAGGGAGGCAGGCCUUGUUUGUUUGAUCCAUAGGUUUAGCACUUAGCUACACUCCACAGAAGCAUCUAAUCUGUUAUGUGCUGUUUUUGUUAUGUCAGGCUAAUCUGGGGACCUAUUUCUGUUGUCUUCUACGAUAGCAAAUAAUGCCUAACUUUUGGUAUUCACCCUAGCUAGACCUUGUCUAGAUAAUUCCAUAUUACAAAAUACUAGGAGAGCAAAAACAACAUCAUCCUUUUUCUAGAUAAUUCCACCCAGUUCUGUUGGUUAAAUAUUCAUAGUCAUAGUGAGUGUCCUCCAUUGCAUCAUCAGUCUCUAACAAUCUACUUACUGGAGCCAGGAAAUUGGAUUGAUAGCUCUCAGUCUCUUGCCUCCAUAUGGGGGUUGAUUUCCCUCUUACCUCAUUCGUCUCGGUUCUGUUGUGUAAUGCAGCCUCAUUAGCUAUUUAUCAUUUCCAGUAAAAAAUCACACAUGGCUGGUGAGAUGUACAGUUGUCAAAAUAUGAAAGAAGUAUAAAUUUACCCCUAUUCCAAGCUGGGCCUAAUACAAAUUUGUCAUUUUUUUGUUAAAUAUUGUGCUUCAUGUUUAUUUGUGUUUCUGUAUAGCAUCGUCGCAUCUGGCAGAGUGCUCCCUUUGUUGUUACAGCAGCUUUGUAUAGUUGCUUUUAAUUCAGCUUUGUCUAUUUUCUGGCAGAAUGCUCCCUUUCAACAAUAGCCUUCUUUAAUCUUCUUCAGGUUUCCAAGGGGGUUUUAUUUAUGACAGCCUUGGAGCAGGGAAAACUAACAUGCUACUAAAGCUAACAUGGUACUGAUCCUGAUACACUUAUAAUUUUUGUGAAUGUAAUAUGUGUCUUGUAAAUGCUUGUUUGGUGCUAGUCCUGCUGUAUGUAAUUAUUUUGCGUAUCUUUGUAAUAUUCAAGAGCUCGUUAGUCCUGCCAGGACACGGUUUGAUGGAAAUUCGUCGGAUCCUUUCAUUGUUUCCAUGGUUGAUGCAGUAGUUUCGUACCUGAUGUGUUUGUGCUUGCUUAGUUUAGCUAUUGUAUUUGUUGUGACCUUGCUGCCGCAACUGUGCUUUUCGACCGGGUCGAACUAGUACAACUUUUGUUGUUGUAGCCCAUGCCUCGUGUUGGUGUGUAUUCUAAUGAAUAUUUGUCAACCUGAUGCAUGAUGAUCAUGAUUUUGUAGACAAGUACCAUUCCCCAUUAAAAACCCUCAUGCAUGAUGAUCAUGGUCUCGUUUUUAAGAUCUGUUUUCCUCGUGCUUAAAAUUUGACAUGCCUGAAUGAACUCAUUUUUAGUUCUUUUUAUUUCUAUGAUCAAUUUAAUUAAAGUUUCACAUGUUAGUAUACUAUACAUUAAAAAAUCCUAGCUAGUGAGAAUAUUUUAGUCACUCCAUAAACACAUAUUGGUUAGUGUUAGUCCCCCCCCCCAUACUAUUUUCGUGUUGUGUUUUCCACAAUAAUAUGAUUAAUUAGGUUCCAUCCUCAGCUUUAACGUCUUCUUCCAAAGGUUCUCAUCGAUUAGUACCGUCAACCUGUACAUAUUAUACUAUUUUGUUUACUAUUUUGUUACCUCAUUGGCUACUAUUUUGUUCUUAUUUUUUGCAUAGGUGAAAUGUGAAGCCAAGCGUGAAGUCGUGAAGCCUAUAUGGAAAGAGUAGCAUAUCAAUAUAUUGUAAUAGUAUACUGUAGUAGGCAUAUUUGAGUUGUAGUAGUGUAAAGAUUGUAAUAGACUAAUUUAGUGUUUUUUGGACUAAUUUUAUUUGUUGUGUGAUCUGUUCAUAAUAUUGAUUUCGUAUGUGAUUUGUAUACCUAUGAAAUGGAAACCUCCCAAAUUGUUUGACAAAUUACAAAAUUUAUGGUGUAGAUAUGAAUUAUGAGAUCAGCAUGACAUGUGGGACCAAUGUGACUAGUGGGACCAAUACAAAAAUAAAAUGGCCAAAAGAGAAAAUCAAUAUAAAGUAAAAGGCCACAACCCAAAAUAAAAAGGCUAAAAGUUUGGGGAUUAUUGGGCCAGGACCAUGCAGCUA